CUGCUGUGCAUAUAUGCAAACUUCUUUUGGAUUAUGACCCGGGAAUUCCUCAAGGCCUUUUUCAAUCUUUAGUUUUGCCUUUCAAGGAUGAAAUGGAAAGGCUUCUUCGGGUAGAGAAAUAUCUCUAUUCCCGUCAAACGCGAGCCAGAUUUUCUGCUUCGAGUAUAUUCAACGAUUUUGGCCUUCGAUAUUCCUUUUCUGUCAAGUACUUCGAUCAAUGUCACGAGCUACAAAACACUCUGGAGGAAAUUGAGAGGUGGGCAACACGGGAGAGACAGAUUAAACGCGAAGAACUCCGACGAAAAAAGGAGAACUACAAUGACC
This 324-nucleotide small RNA is filed under the name Histoplasma capsulatum. RNAcentral describes it as "hypothetical RNA". RNAcentral also lists the same sequence under 1 other name. The record is from RNAcentral. Lineage: Eukaryota; Fungi; Ascomycota; Eurotiomycetes; Onygenales; Ajellomycetaceae.